Molecule: long non-coding RNA, 329 nt
Organism: Halichondria panicea
Lineage: Eukaryota; Metazoa; Porifera; Demospongiae; Suberitida; Halichondriidae
Exons: 3
Source: RefSeq, a predicted model, not a curated record
ACUAACAGGACUAACAGGAAAUCAUAAGUAAAAAUAACUCUAAUGACCUAAGCCUAACUAAAUAUAGUCUGCUACAUAUACCAAAGAUUUGGUAUAUUGCUGGUGUAGUAGUGUAAGUAGUAGUGUAACCAAAUACAAAGUGUAACCAAAUACAAGGUGCUACAGAAUUCUAGAAUCAUCACAUGAUAUGCAAUAAUUCAUCUAUAACACAUGGUCAUGCAGCACAACAAAAACGGCAGCACUAACUGAGACCCGUCAAGCAAGAGAACGGGAACUUAGCGAAAAUAAUCAUGACAGCUCAGAUCUGAGCCUAUACGUACCUUAAAGGC